AAGUCGUAACAAGGUUUCCGUAGGUGAACCUGCGGAAGGAUCAUUAUCAAAACGUAUCCACGUAUAAACCAAUAACUAAUGUGAAUUGUAAUGUUAAGCCUUUGAUAGUCAAUUGAUUGCUUUCGACAUAUCUGUCUAACUUAAAUGAUUAAGGACAGGUCGGAGGACUUGUGUGAGUGUUUUACACUUGCACUAGCAUUGAUUAUUGAAGUGUAUAUUAAUCAUUUAUAUUAACCAAUUGAACCGAAAUAACAUAUCUUUUAAUUAAGUAAGUUAUUCAUUUCUUUAUUGUGAACUGAAUUGUUUCUUACCCUUUUCUGUGUAACAACAGAAGAGAGAAGAAAUUAUAUUUACGAAACAUAAAUAUGAACAACUCUUAGCAACGGAUAUCUUGGUUCUC
RNAcentral lists this unclassified non-coding RNA (400 nucleotides) under fungal sp. RNAcentral's name for it is "partial internal transcribed spacer region". The stretch from base 1 to 46 matches the Rfam family "Eukaryotic small subunit ribosomal RNA", at positions 1786 to 1831 of the family's 1831-position model. The record is from RNAcentral. Lineage: Eukaryota; Fungi.